Molecule: transfer RNA, 62 nt
Filed under: Barbronia yunnanensis
Lineage: Eukaryota; Metazoa; Annelida; Clitellata; Hirudinida; Salifidae
Description: tRNA-His
Source: RNAcentral
AACUUGUUAGGAUAAGCAAUUCCACUGAUUUGUGGUGUCAGUAGUACUAGAAGUACAAGUUC